GGUUGACCUCGGAUCAGGUAGGGAUACCCGCUGAACUUA
Molecule: ribosomal RNA, 39 nt
Filed under: Cladosporium cladosporioides
Lineage: Eukaryota; Fungi; Ascomycota; Dothideomycetes; Cladosporiales; Cladosporiaceae
Also listed under: 7 other names
Description: partial 28S ribosomal RNA
Source: RNAcentral